This is a long non-coding RNA of Gorilla gorilla gorilla (western lowland gorilla), 778 nucleotides long. RefSeq lists it as uncharacterized. NCBI's taxonomy places the organism in Eukaryota, Metazoa, Chordata, Mammalia, Primates, Hominidae. The transcript has 3 exons. The record is from RefSeq and is a predicted model, not a curated record.
ACACUAGAUUGCAUUGUCACUGGGAAAUAAGCUCAUUUUAUUAGCUUGUUUCUCAGCUAGCUUGUGUAGAAAUUUGCCACAGUUGUUACUGCUGGGCACCUGCCCUGGAUCUGAUCAUCAAUUAUAUCAUCUCUUCCAUCUGAUGGACUGCACCUCACCCCUUGCUUUUUCAGAGCUGGCGAAGCUGGGCCAAGGAAAGCGAUAGUGCCAGCUGAGUGGAAUGUGCAGGAAGGGACCGAGGAGGGGCACUAUGUACUGGAGAAAAGAGAUGGGGUCUCCAGGACAGGGGUAAGGACACUAGACUGAGGACACAAAGGAAGGAAACCGCAAGGAAGUAGAGUAGGGAAGUGGGGAGCAUGCUGAGGAGAGAGGUCAAGAGAUGGUGACCGCUCUCUGCAUGCCCCAAGGAGAUGGUGAUGACACUCCCAAGUCCAUGUGGGAAUCCCUCCUUCUGUGGGCCUCAGUCUGUCAUCUUCCUUGGAGCAGGACCAAAGUAAAUAAGAUAAAGUCACAAUUUCUCAUCCUUCUUCACUCAACUUUUCUUUGAGGAGAGAAUACAGCAGUUUCAAGGACAAGGGAUUUGUACCACUGCUCCUCACUCAAUAAACAUCAGAGACAGAAUUUGAACGAAUGCUACACUCGUAAGGGAAGAACGCCUCAAGAAAGCAUCUGUACCAUUCCAGCAAAUACACUGUGCAUGCUCCCCUCCCAAAUGCUAGCAGGCCACUGCACAUAUGGACAGCCCACCCCAAGGGAAGAAUUGGGAGAAGUAACCCAA